RNAcentral lists this ribosomal RNA (546 nucleotides) under Neofusicoccum parvum. RNAcentral describes it as "eukaryotic LSU rRNA". The stretch from base 223 to 376 matches the Rfam family "5.8S ribosomal RNA". The record is from RNAcentral. Lineage: Eukaryota; Fungi; Ascomycota; Dothideomycetes; Botryosphaeriales; Botryosphaeriaceae.
AUCGUAACAAGGUUUCCGUAGGUGAACCUGCGGAAGGAUCAUUACCGAGUUGAUUCGAGCUCCGGCUCGACUCUCCCACCCUAUGUGUACCUACCUCUGUUGCUUUGGCGGGCCGCGGUCCUCCGCACCGGCGCCCUUCGGGGGGCUGGCCAGCGCCCGCCAGAGGACCAUAAAACUCCAGUCAGUGAACUUCGCAGUCUGAAAAACAAGUUAAUAAACUAAAACUUUCAACAACGGAUCUCUUGGUUCUGGCAUCGAUGAAGAACGCAGCGAAAUGCGAUAAGUAAUGUGAAUUGCAGAAUUCAGUGAAUCAUCGAAUCUUUGAACGCACAUUGCGCCCCUUGGUAUUCCGAGGGGCAUGCCUGUUCGAGCGUCAUUUCAACCCUCAAGCUCUGCUUGGUAUUGGGCCCCGUCCUCCACGGACGCGCCUUAAAGACCUCGGCGGUGGCGUCUUGCCUCAAGCGUAGUAGAAAACACCUCGCUUUGGAGCGCACGGCGUCGCCCGCCGGACGAACCUUUGAAUUAUUUCUCAAGGUUGACCUCGGA